This 87-nucleotide transfer RNA is filed under the name Chloroflexota bacterium. RNAcentral's name for it is "tRNA-Gly". Lineage: Bacteria; Bacillati; Chloroflexota. The record is from RNAcentral.
GGCUCACCGACUGACUACCACGAUCCACACAUCGUGUUACGUGAGCACCGGACUUCCAAUCCGAUGGUCGCAGGGUCGAAUCCUGCC